UGGGGAAUAUUGGACAAUGGAGGCAACUCUGAUCCAGCCAUGCCGCGUGAGUGAUGAAGGCCUUCGGGUUGUAAAGCUCUUUAGCUAGGGAAAAUAAUGAUUGUACCUAGAGAAUAAGCCCCGGCUAACUCUGUGCCAGCAGCCGCGGUAAUACAGAGGGGGCUAGCGUUGUUCGGAAUUACUGGGCGUAAAGCGUGCGUAGGCGGCUUUCCAAGUCAGGCGUGAAAUCCCGGGGCUUAACCUCGGAAUUGCGCUUGAAACUAGAAAGCUGGAGGACGAGAGAGGAUAGUAGAAUUCCUAGUGUAGGAGUGAAAUCCGUAGAUAUUAGGAGGAAUACCAGUGGCGAAGGCGGCUAUCUGGCUCGUUUCUGACGCUGAGGCACGAAAGCGUGGGUAGCAAA
This 400-nucleotide ribosomal RNA is filed under the name uncultured bacterium. RNAcentral's name for it is "bacterial SSU rRNA". It matches the Rfam family "Bacterial small subunit ribosomal RNA", at positions 355 to 772 of the family's 1533-position model. The record is from RNAcentral.